This 672-nucleotide ribosomal RNA is filed under the name uncultured Lachnospiraceae bacterium. RNAcentral's name for it is "bacterial SSU rRNA". It matches the Rfam family "Bacterial small subunit ribosomal RNA", at positions 60 to 733 of the family's 1533-position model. Lineage: Bacteria; Bacillati; Bacillota; Clostridia; Lachnospirales; Lachnospiraceae. The record is from RNAcentral.
AGUCGAACGGGAAAUAUUUCAUUGAGACUUCGGUGGAUUUGAUCUAUUUCUAGUGGCGGACGGGUGAGUAACGCGUGGGUAACCUGCCUUAUACAGGGGGAUAACAGUCAGAAAUGGCUGCUAAUACCGCAUAAGCGCACAGAGCUGCAUGGCUCAGUGUGAAAAACUCCGGUGGUAUAAGAUGGACCCGCGUUGGAUUAGCUUGUUGGUGGGGUAACGGCCCACCAAGGCGACGAUCCAUAGCCGGCCUGAGAGGGUGAACGGCCACAUUGGGACUGAGACACGGCCCAGACUCCUACGGGAGGCAGCAGUGGGGAAUAUUGCACAAUGGGGGAAACCCUGAUGCAGCGACGCCGCGUGAAGGAAGAAGUAUCUCGGUAUGUAAACUUCUAUCAGCAGGGAAGAUAGUGACGGUACCUGACUAAGAAGCCCCGGCUAACUACGUGCCAGCAGCCGCGGUAAUACGUAGGGGGCAAGCGUUAUCCGGAUUUACUGGGUGUAAAGGGAGCGUAGACGGUGUGGCAAGUCUGAUGUGAAAGGCAUGGGCUCAACCUGUGGACUGCAUUGGAAACUGUCAUACUUGAGUGCCGGAGGGGUAAGCGGAAUUCCUAGUGUAGCGGUGAAAUGCGUAGAUAUUAGGAGGAACACCAGUGGCGAAGGCGGCUUACUGGA